RNAcentral lists this ribosomal RNA (1245 nucleotides) under Aphis gossypii (cotton aphid). RNAcentral describes it as "16S ribosomal RNA". The record is from RNAcentral. Lineage: Eukaryota; Metazoa; Arthropoda; Insecta; Hemiptera; Aphididae.
UAUAUUUUUUUUUUUUUUAUUUUUUAUAAAAAUAAUUUAUUUAUUUAAUGUUUUAGUAUUUAGUAAAAAUUAAUUUUUAGAUUUAUAGUUUAAUAGUAUUGUAAAAGAAAUUGUUAAAUUUUAUAAAGAAUUUUAUAGUACCUUUUGUAUCAGGGUUGAUUAAAAUUUUUAAUUUUUUUUUAAUUUCUCAAAAUUUAUAGAGUUAAUUUUAUUAUUAAUUUAUUGUGGUAAAAAUAUUUAUAAAAUAAUAUUAGUUUUGAAAUUUAAUUCGUUAUAUUAUAUUUAGUUAUUUAAGAUUUAAAUUUAAUUUAAAAUUUUAAAAGUUGUAUUAAUUUUAUUGAUUAAUAUUUUAAAUUUAAAUUAUUUUAGGGAUAAGCUUGAAAUUUUAAUAUAAUAAUUUAUUUAUUUUAAUAAUUUAUAGGAAUAGAAAUUUUUAUUUAAGUUUGUAAAAAUUUAUUAUUUAUUUAAUUUUAAUUUAUUAUAUUUAUAUUUAUUUUUAAUAUUAAAUUUUAUUAAUUAAUAUUUAAUUAAUAGUAAUAAUGAUUAAAUUAGUAUAAUAUAUAAAUUUAUAAAUUAUGAAUUCGGCAAAAAUUAUUUUCAUCUGUUUAACAAAAACAUUGUAUUAAGUUUAAUUUAAUAUAGGAUCUGCUCAAUGAUUUAUUAAAUAGCUGCAGUAUUUUGACUGUGCAAAGGUAGCAUAAUAAUUAGUCUUUUAAUUGAGGACUUGAAUGAAAGAUUUGAUGAGAAAUAGACUUUAUUAUUUAUAAAAUUAAAAUUUUAUUUUUAAGUAAAAAAGCUUAAAUUAUUUAAAGGGACGAUAAGACCCUAUAAAACUUUAUAAAUUUUGAUUUUAAUUUUUUUGGAUUCAUAAAUAUUUUAUAAUUAAAAUUUAUUUUAUUGGGGUGAUAAAAAAAAUUAUUAAACUUUUUUUAAAAUUUAACAUUAUUUAAUGAUUAGUUGAAUUAAAAUUUUUAAUUAAAGGAAAAAGUUACUUUAGGGAUAACAGCGUAAUUAAUUUUUUAAGUUCAAAUUUAAAAAUUAGUUUGCGACCUCGAUGUUGAAUUAAGAUUAAUCUUAGGUGCAAAAUUUUAAGUAUUAGGUCUGUUCGACCUUUAAAUUCUUACAUGAUUUGAGUUCAAACCGGUGUAAGCCAGGUUGGUUUCUAUCUUUUAUUAAUUGAAUUAUUUUAGUACGAAAGGAUUGAAUAAUUAAAUUAAAUUUUAUAUAAUGAAUUAAAAUAAUUUA